CUAUGGUGAGUACAGCAGCAGAAUUUUUUUCUCUCCAGAUCUAUUUUGACCAUAAAUCUUUAUACAAAUGAUCAAUGUAUAUUGAAGUGAAUGAAAUACAAGUAUAAAAGUGAUUAAUUAGUUAUGUCCCCUCUGCAUAUUGACUCUGAAAUCUAAAAAAAACUUUGAAUUUGAUUUCUCUUCAUGCUCUGAUAUUUUCCAGCUCUUCUUCCUGUUCCUGUCAUCAUCAGAGACUCUUCACAAUGCUCUUCAUCAUCUUCAUCUUCAUCAGUGUCUAAAUGUUCACUGCUGUGUUCAGUGCUGAAUGUGAGUCAUGUGACUCUCUCCUGGUUCAAAGGAAACAGUUUCAUCUCCAGCAUCAGUGUGUCUGAUCUCAGCAUCAGUCUCUCUUUACCUCUGGAGGUGGAACAUCAGGAUAAAAACACCUACAGCUGUGUGCUGAACAACAACAUCAGCAACCAGACCAAACAUCUGGACAUCAGUCAACUCUGUCAGCCGUGUGCAGAUUUUGUCUCCAUUCAGACUGUUUCUCUGGUGUUUGGUCUGAUCUGUGUUGUUCUGGUCGUUGGGAUGUUUGGAUUAUUAGGGCUAUUAAAGGUUUUUGCUGAUAGAAGUAAGAAAAACGUACAACGCCCUGAAGAUACAGACAUACAGCAGCUUCUAAUGAGUCUUGAACAAC
Cyprinus carpio (common carp) is the source of this 679-nucleotide long non-coding RNA. RefSeq lists it as uncharacterized. The transcript is spliced from 3 exons. The record is from RefSeq and is a predicted model, not a curated record. NCBI's taxonomy places the organism in Eukaryota, Metazoa, Chordata, Actinopteri, Cypriniformes, Cyprinidae.